GGGGAUAUAGCUCAAAAGGGAGAGCGCGGCGUUCGCAAUGCCGAGGUUGGGGGUUCGAUUCCCCCUAUCUCCACCA
RNAcentral lists this transfer RNA (76 nucleotides) under Chloroflexota bacterium. RNAcentral describes it as "Chloroflexi bacterium tRNA-Ala". It matches the Rfam family "tRNA". From Rfam's summary of the family: Transfer RNA (tRNA) molecules are approximately 80 nucleotides in length. The record is from RNAcentral. Lineage: Bacteria; Bacillati; Chloroflexota.